RNAcentral lists this ribosomal RNA (253 nucleotides) under uncultured bacterium. Its description in RNAcentral is "partial 16S ribosomal RNA". It matches the Rfam family "Archaeal small subunit ribosomal RNA", at positions 474 to 727 of the family's 1478-position model. The record is from RNAcentral.
UACCAGCACCCCGAGUGGUCGGGACGUUUAUUGGGCCUAAAGCAUCCGUAGCCGGUUCUACAAGUCUUCCGUUAAAUCCAACGGCUUAACAGGUGGGCUGCGGAAGAUACUAUAGAGCUAGGAGGCGGGAGAGGCAAGCGGUACUCGAUGGGUAGGGGUAAAAUCCGUUGAUCCAUUGAAGACCACCAGUGGCGAAGGCGGCUUGCCAGAACGCGCUCGACGGUGAGGGAUGAAAGCUGGGGGAGCAAACCGG